Small nucleolar RNA from Rhododendron vialii, 108 nucleotides. The record is from RefSeq and is a predicted model, not a curated record. Lineage: Eukaryota; Viridiplantae; Streptophyta; Magnoliopsida; Ericales; Ericaceae.
AAAUUAUGGUGUGGGACAGCUGCGAGUAAAUCCUUGUAACGCUCCCAAUACUUAUAGAAGACUUCCCCAUCUUUUUGCUUGAAAUUUUAAAUUUGAUCCAUGAGAAGU